Molecule: non-coding RNA, 250 nt
Organism: Paralichthys olivaceus (Japanese flounder)
Lineage: Eukaryota; Metazoa; Chordata; Actinopteri; Pleuronectiformes; Paralichthyidae
Source: RefSeq, a predicted model, not a curated record
AUCCCGACCUCACCGCCACACCCAGUCGCCUGAGUUAUCGCAUCACUGCCGGCAACCCGCAGAAUUUCUUCUCUAUCAACCCCAAAACAGGGCUCAUCACGACGACGGCGAGGAAACUGGACAGAGAACAACAGGCGGAGCACUUUUUAGAGGUAACAGUUAUAGACGGACCCGUGACCACCCGCCAGUCCACCGUGUGGGUCAUCGUUCACAUCGAGGACCAGAACGACAACCCGCCCACCUUCCCUGA